RNAcentral lists this ribosomal RNA (1604 nucleotides) under Macrochelys temminckii (alligator snapping turtle). RNAcentral describes it as "16S ribosomal RNA". It matches the Rfam family "Bacterial large subunit ribosomal RNA". Lineage: Eukaryota; Metazoa; Chordata; Testudines; Chelydridae. The record is from RNAcentral.
GCAACAACCUAGCCCAACCAACAAACAAACUCAAAAAAUAACACUAAUCCUUCUAAACUAAACUAAAACAUUUUACCAUCCUAGUAUAGGUGAUAGAAAAGAAAGUUGGAGCAAUAAAGAUAGUACCGCAAGGGAAAGAUGAAAAACAUGAAAUACUCACUAAGCCAUAAACAGCAAAGAUUAACUCUUAUACCUCUUGCAUCAUGUUUUAGCCAGCACACUCAAGCAAAGAGAACUAAAGUCUGAACCCCCGAAACCAAGUGAGCUACUUAAAGGCAGCCAAUAUCAAUAACGCUAAAUCCGUCUCUGUGGCAAAAGAGUGGAGAGACCUCUAAGUAGAAGUGAAAAGCCUAACGAACUUGGUGAUAGCUGGUUGCUCAAUAAAAGAAUUUAAGUUCAACCUUAAAUUUCCUAAAAACAACCUAAAAAGUAUUUUAACGAGAAAUUUAAGAUAUAUUCAAUCGGGGUACAGCCCAAUUGAAAAAGGAUACAACCUAAAAUGGUGAACAAAACAUAAUUUUCUCCCCCUCCGUAGGCCUUAAAGCAGCCACCAUUAAAGAAAGCGUCAAAGCCCAUCAAUAACAAAUAUUAACAAUAAUUCUCUUCCCAAACAACAUUGAGCCAUUCUAUUAUUAUAGAAGAAUUAAUGCUAAAAUUAGUAACAAGAAGACAAACUUCUCUUAUGCACUAGCUUAAAUCAUAACAGAUAAACUAAUGAUUAUUAACAACUAACUUUAUAAAAUCAACAACACUUAAUAUAACAUAUAUACCAAACUGUUAACCCAACACAGGAGUGCAUAUAAGAAAGAUUAAAACUUGUAAAAGGAACUAGGCAAAUAAACAAACCCGACUGUUUACCAAAAACAUAGCCCCUAGCAAUACACAAGUAUUAGGGGUAAUGCCUGCCCAGUGACACUGUUAAACGGCCGCGGUAUCCUAACCGUGCAAAGGUAGCGUAAUCACUUGUCUUUUAAAUUAAGACUAGAAUGAAUGGCCAAACGAGGUUUUACCUGUCUCUUACAAGUAAUCAGUGAAAUUGGUCUUCCCGGCAAAAUCGAGAAUGACAUUAUAAGACGAGAAGACCCUGUGGAACUUUAAAUACCCAUCAACUACUACCUAUCUAUAUCUACGGAUUUAAACAAACGUAAUUUUUGAUCCUAUUUUUGGUUGGGGCGACCUCGGAGAACAACAAAACCUCCGAAAAAGAACAUAACAUUUCAAUACCUAGACUUACAAUUCAAAGUGCCUACGGCAAAAUGAUCCAAUAUACUUGAUCAACGAACCAAGCUACCCCAGGGAUAACAGCGCAAUCCCAUCUCAGAGUCCUUAUACGACGAUGGGGUUUACGACCUCGAUGUUGGAUCAGGACAUCCUGAUGGUGCAACCGCUAUCAAGGGUUCGUUUGUUCAACGAUUAACAGUCCUACGUGAUCUGAGUUCAGACCGGAGCAAUCCAGGUCGGUUUCUAUCUAUAAUAUGAGUUUUUUCCAGUACGAAAGGACCGAAAAGACAAGGCCUAUAUCUAAAACAAGCCUUAUAUUACAUUAGUGAAGCCAACUAAACUAAUAAUAAAAGCAAAACCACUUAGCCCAAAAAAAGGGCAAA